Molecule: transfer RNA, 70 nt
Filed under: Acidimicrobiales bacterium
Lineage: Bacteria; Bacillati; Actinomycetota; Acidimicrobiia; Acidimicrobiales
Description: tRNA-Val
Rfam family: tRNA (bases 3-59)
About the family: Transfer RNA (tRNA) molecules are approximately 80 nucleotides in length. Their secondary structure includes four short double-helical elements and three loops (D, anti-codon, and T loops). Further hydrogen bonds mediate the characteristic L-shaped molecular structure. tRNAs have two regions of fundamental functional importance: the anti-codon, which is responsible for specific mRNA codon recognition, and the 3' end, to which the tRNAs corresponding amino acid is attached (by aminoacyl-tRNA synthetases). tRNAs cope with the degeneracy of the genetic code in two manners: having more than one tRNA (with a specific anti-codon) for a particular amino acid; and 'wobble' base-pairing, i.e. permitting non-standard base-pairing at the 3rd anti-codon position.
Source: RNAcentral
GGAGCGAAGCGACUAGCGCACCUGCAUGACGCGCAGGGGGUCGGGGGUUCGAGUCCCUCACGGCCCACCA